AAGAUGAAUAGUAUAGUACCUCAUAUAUAAUGGGAAUAUGGCCCAUACGUCUCUACCCAGACACCGUAAAUGUUUGGACUAUGAGGGAAAGUGGAUAUAUU
RNAcentral lists this non-coding RNA (101 nucleotides) under Heyndrickxia shackletonii. RNAcentral describes it as "Bacillus shackletonii Guanine sequence". It matches the Rfam family "Purine riboswitch aptamer". Rfam says of the family: Riboswitches are metabolite binding domains within certain messenger RNAs that serve as precision sensors for their corresponding targets. Allosteric rearrangement of mRNA structure is mediated by ligand binding, and this results in modulation of gene expression. A class of riboswitches that selectively recognises guanine and becomes saturated at concentrations as low as 5 nM. The record is from Rfam by way of RNAcentral. Lineage: Bacteria; Bacillati; Bacillota; Bacilli; Caryophanales; Bacillaceae.